RNAcentral lists this ribosomal RNA (377 nucleotides) under uncultured bacterium. Its description in RNAcentral is "bacterial SSU rRNA". It matches the Rfam family "Bacterial small subunit ribosomal RNA", at positions 521 to 896 of the family's 1533-position model. The record is from RNAcentral.
UAAUACGUAGGGCCCGAGCGUUAUCCGGAUUUACUGGGCGUAAAGCGUGCGUAGGUGCCUGGCUAAGUUUCUGGUGAAAUCCCUCAGCUUAACUGAGGAACUGUCAGAAAAACUAGCUGGGUUGAGUGUGACAGGGGCAGACGGAAUUGAUGGUGUAGCGGUAAAAUGCGUAGAUAUCAUCAAGAACACCGAUGGCGAAGGCAGUCUGCUGGGUCAUCACUGACACUGAGGCACGAAAGCGUGGGUAGCGAACGGGAUUAGAUACCCCGGUAGUCCACGCCGUAAACGAUGGGUACUAGGUAUUCGGGGAAUAGACCCCCUGGGUAUCGAAGCUAACGCGUUAAGUACCCCGCCUGGGGAGUACGGUCGCAAGACUA